Molecule: ribosomal RNA, 253 nt
Filed under: uncultured bacterium
Lineage: Bacteria
Description: partial 16S ribosomal RNA
Rfam family: Bacterial small subunit ribosomal RNA
Source: RNAcentral
UACGUAGGUGGCAAGCGUUGUCCGGAUUUACUGGGCGUAAAGAGCGCGCAGGCGGUCGUAUAAGUCGAAUGUGAAAGCCCCCGGCUCAACUGGGGAGGGUCAUUCGAUACUGUUCGACUCGAAGGCAGGAGAGGGAAGUGGAAUUCCGGGUGUAGUGGUGAAAUGCGUAGAUAUCCGGAGGAACACCAGUGGCGAAGGCGACUUUCUGGCCUGUUCUUGACGCUGAGGAGCGAAAGCCAGGGGAGCAAACGGG